Molecule: ribosomal RNA, 449 nt
Filed under: uncultured bacterium
Lineage: Bacteria
Description: partial 16S ribosomal RNA
Rfam family: Bacterial small subunit ribosomal RNA
Source: RNAcentral
AACGAACGCUGGCGGCAGGCCUAACACAUGCAAGUCGAACGCCCCCUUCGGGGGGCGUGGCGCACGGGUGAGUAACGCGUGGGAAUCUGCCCUUUGGUCUGGAAUAACCCUGGGAAACUAGGGCUAAAACCGGAUAAGCCCCGCGAGGGGGAAAGUUUACGCCGAAGGAGGAGCCCGCGUCCGAUUAGCUAGUUGGUGAGGUAAGAGCUUACCAAGGCGACGAUCGGUAGCUGGUCUGAGAGGACGAUCAGCCACACUGGGACUGAGACACGGCCCAGACUCCUACGGGAGGCAGCAGUGGGGAAUAUUGGACAAUGGGCGCAAGCCUGAUCCAGCCAUGCCGCGUGAGUGAUGAAGGCCUUCGGGUUGUAAAGCUCUUUUGGCGGGGACGAUGAUGACGGUACCCGCAGAAUAAGCCCCGGCAAACUUCGUGCCAGCCGCCGCAGUAA